Molecule: ribosomal RNA, 445 nt
Filed under: uncultured bacterium
Lineage: Bacteria
Description: partial 16S ribosomal RNA
Rfam family: Bacterial small subunit ribosomal RNA
Source: RNAcentral
GUGAGGAAUAUUGGUCAAUGGGCGGGAGCCUGAACCAGCCAAGUCGCGUGAAGGAAGAAGGAUCUAUGGUUCGUAAACUUCUUUUGCAGGGGAAUAAAGUGCAGGACGUGUCCUGUUUUGUAUGUACCCUGAGAAUAAGGAUCGGCUAACUCCGUGCCAGCAGCCGCGGUAAUACGGAGGAUCCGAGCGUUAUCCGGAUUUAUUGGGUUUAAAGGGUGCGUAGGUGGUUUGAUAAGUCAGCGGUGAAAGGUUGCAGCUUAACUGUAAAAAUGCCGUUGAAACUGUCGGACUUGAGUGUAAAUGAGGUAGGCGGAAUGCGUGGUGUAGCGGUGAAAGGCAUAGAUAUCACGCAGAACUCCGAUUGCGAAGGCAGCUUACUAAGCUACAACUGACACUGAAGCACGAAAGCGUGGGGAUCAAACAGGAUUAGAAACCCUAGUAGUCC